UACAGAGGGGGCAAGCGUUAUUCGGAAUUAUUGGGCGUAAAGGGCGCGUAGGCGGCCUGGCAAGUGGAAGGUGAAAUCCCUCGGCUUAACCGAGGAACUGCCUGUCAAACUGCGUGGCUUGAGACCAGGAGAGGUGAGUGGAAUUCCCAGUGUAGCGGUGAAAUGCGUAGAUAUUGGGAGGAACACCAGUGGCGAAGGCGGCUCACUGGACCGGAACUGACGCUGAGGCGCGAAAGCGUGGGGAGCAAACAGG
RNAcentral lists this ribosomal RNA (253 nucleotides) under uncultured bacterium. RNAcentral describes it as "partial 16S ribosomal RNA". It matches the Rfam family "Bacterial small subunit ribosomal RNA", at positions 524 to 776 of the family's 1533-position model. The record is from RNAcentral.